This 253-nucleotide ribosomal RNA is filed under the name uncultured bacterium. RNAcentral describes it as "partial 16S ribosomal RNA". It matches the Rfam family "Bacterial small subunit ribosomal RNA", at positions 524 to 776 of the family's 1533-position model. The record is from RNAcentral.
UACGUAGGGCGCAAGCGUUAUCCGGAAUUAUUGGGCGUAAAGAGCUCGUAGGCGGUUUGUCGCGUCUGCCGUGAAAGUCCGGGGCUUAACCCCGGAUCUGCGGUGGGUACGGGCAGACUAGAGUGCAGUAGGGGAGACUGGAAUUCCUGGUGUAGCGGUGAAAUGCGUAGAUAUCAGGAGGAACACCGAUGGCGAAGGCAGGUCUCUGGGCUGUAACUGACGCUGAGGAGCGAAAGCAUGGGGAGCGAACAGG